AAUAGGUAAAAAUUUAGGUAGUAUGAGUAGGUUAAGAGAGAUAACUUGAUGAGGUUAGAUUGUGUAUUAAAAAUUUACGAAUAAUUGAGUAUUUUGUACUGUGAGGGUAUAUAGUAGCUAUGUUAAAGUAAUAAGUUUUGUACCUUUUGUAUCAGGGUUUGCUAAAUUUAUUAAUUUAUUUUAAUUUCCCGGAGAAAAGUGAGCUAUUGGAUAAGUUUUUAUUGUGGUAUAAAUGGGGUAUAAUUAUACAGUAGGAGUGAGAUACUAACGGACUUUUUGAUACCUGGUUCUAAUAGAAAUAUAUGAGUAUAAUAUGAACUAAUGAGUUAGUUCAAGUAAAGAGUAUUGGGGCUAAGCUCAAUGUUUAAUUGUUAUAUUAUUGUUUAGUYGUAUUUGUAUGAGGUUUAAGAGUGGCUUUUUGUUUAAUAACAUAUGAGGGUUUUGUUAAGAUUAAUUAGGUAUGUUAGAUUUUUGGUAAAUUUAUUCCUCUAGUAAUAAUGGUAAAAUUAGUAGAAGAAAUUAUAUUUUGAUUAGUUGGACUUAGAGUAUGGAUACUAGGAUUAUAGAUUAUAAUGUGCUAUAAAGGAACUCGGCAACUAUACUCCUUAACUGUUUAUCAAAAACAUUUUUUUAAGUGUUAGGAGUUAAAGUAGGUUCUGCCCACUGAUUUGAUUAAAGGGCCGCAGUAGC
Molecule: ribosomal RNA, 690 nt
Filed under: Nelima satoi
Lineage: Eukaryota; Metazoa; Arthropoda; Arachnida; Opiliones; Sclerosomatidae
Description: partial 16S ribosomal RNA
Source: RNAcentral